This 368-nucleotide ribosomal RNA is filed under the name uncultured organism. RNAcentral describes it as "bacterial SSU rRNA". It matches the Rfam family "Bacterial small subunit ribosomal RNA", at positions 527 to 896 of the family's 1533-position model. The record is from RNAcentral.
GGAGGGGGCUAGCGUUGUUCGGAAUUACUGGGCGUAAAGGGUGCGUAGGCGGCUAUCCAAGUCAGACGUGAAAGGCCUGGGCUCAACCCGGGAACUGCGUUUGAGACUGGGUGGCUGGAGUCCGGGAGAGGUGAGCGGAAUUCCCAGUGUAGAGGUGAAAUUCGUAGAUAUUGGGAAGAGCACCGGUGGCGAAGGCGGCUCACUGGACCGGUACUGACGCUGAGGCACGAAAGCGUGGGGAGCAAACAGGAUUAGAUACCCUGGUAGUCCACGCCGUAAACGAUGUGCGCUAGACGCAGGGGGUUCAGCCUUCUGUGUCGCAGCCAACGCGAUAAGCGCACCGCCUGGGGAGUACGGCCGCAAGGUUA